This 497-nucleotide ribosomal RNA is filed under the name uncultured bacterium. Its description in RNAcentral is "partial 16S ribosomal RNA". It matches the Rfam family "Bacterial small subunit ribosomal RNA", at positions 28 to 507 of the family's 1533-position model. The record is from RNAcentral.
GAUGAACGCUGGCGGCGUGCCUAAUACAUGCAAGUCGAGCGGAAGGACGAGAAUCUUGCUUCGCUGAUGUUAGCGGCGGACGUGUGAGUAACACAUUGUACACCGUACUAUGAAACUGCGAUAACUUCUUUAGACCAGAGCUAAUACCUGAUAAUAUUUUGAACCUCAUUGUUCAAAAAUUUAAAACGGUCUUGCAUGCACUUGUAGAUGGAUCCUCGAUGCAUUAGAUAGUUGGUAAGGUAACGGCUUACCAAUGCAAGGAUUUAUAGGCGACCUGCGAGGGUGAUCGGACACACUGGAACUGUAACGCGGUACAGACCACUAUGGGAGGCAGCAGAAGGGAAACGUACGUUAGGGGAGAAAGGCUAAAGGAGCAAAGCCGCGUGAGGGAUGAAGAUCUUCGGAUAGUAAAACUCUGCUAUUAGGGAAGAACAUGUGUGUAAGUAACUGUGCACAUCUUGACGGUACUUAAUCAGAAAGGCACGGCUAACUCCGUG